Molecule: ribosomal RNA, 181 nt
Filed under: uncultured bacterium
Lineage: Bacteria
Description: partial 16S ribosomal RNA
Rfam family: Bacterial small subunit ribosomal RNA
Source: RNAcentral
UAAUGUCUACGGACCAAAGCAGGGGCGUCUUCGGACCGUUGCACUAUCGGAUGAACCCAUAUGGGAUUAGCUAGUAGGUGGGGUAAAGGCUCACCUAGGCGACGAUCUCUAGCUGGUCUGAGAGGAUGAUCAGCCACACUGGGGCUGAGACACGGCCCAGACUCCUACGGGAGGCAGCAUG